GCAAUGGUGGUUCAGUGGUAGAAUUCUCGUUUUCCAUGCAGGAGACCUGGGUUCAAUUCCUGGCCAACACA
RNAcentral lists this transfer RNA (71 nucleotides) under Loxodonta africana (African savanna elephant). It matches the Rfam family "tRNA". Rfam says of the family: Transfer RNA (tRNA) molecules are approximately 80 nucleotides in length. Their secondary structure includes four short double-helical elements and three loops (D, anti-codon, and T loops). Lineage: Eukaryota; Metazoa; Chordata; Mammalia; Proboscidea; Elephantidae. The record is from Rfam by way of RNAcentral.